GUGAGGAAUAUUGGUCAAUGGGCGGGAGCCUGAACCAGCCAAGUCGCGUGAAGGAAGAAGGAUCUAUGGUUCGUAAACUUCUUUUGCAGGGGAAUAAAGUGCGGGACGUGUCCUGUUUUGUAUGUACCCUGAGAAUAAGGAUCGGCUAACUCCGUGCCAGCAGCCGCGGUAAUACGGAGGAUCCGAGCGUUAUCCGGAUUUAUGGGGUUUAAAGGGUGCGUAGGAGGUUUGAUAAGUCAGCGGUGAAAGUUUGCAGCUUAACUGUAAAAAUGCCGUUGAAACUGUCGGACUUGAGUGUAAAUGAGGUAGGCGGAAUGCGUGGUGUAGCGGUGAAAUGCAUAGAUAUCACGCAGAACUCCGAUUGCGAAGGCAGCUUACUAAGCUACAACUGACACUGAAGCACGAAAGCGUGGGGAUCAAACAGGAUUAGAUACCCCGGUAGUCC
RNAcentral lists this ribosomal RNA (445 nucleotides) under uncultured bacterium. RNAcentral's name for it is "partial 16S ribosomal RNA". It matches the Rfam family "Bacterial small subunit ribosomal RNA", at positions 354 to 796 of the family's 1533-position model. The record is from RNAcentral.